GCCGGUGCUUGUGUGAUCGCCGGUGAGAACCGAGUCAAUGAUGACGAUGGUGGUAUCUAGCCUCAGUAGCCAGUAGCCUGACUUCCGGUGUCUUAACCAAGACUGCAGAUUGCUGCUGCUGUAUGUGGAACAAGCAGGGGAGACUCCACAGAACAUACAUCUCCAUAAUAAGCCCAGUGGUGGAAAAAGUACCCAAUUCUCUCCUUCCCCAUCUCUCCUUCCCAUAUCUCCUUCCCCAUCUCUCUCUCCCUAGAGCGCGCAAACAGGGUGAGCGGUAUUUGCAGGCCACAGAGAGCAUUAGCAGUGAGCUAAUGAUUGAGGACUGAGCUCAGGAGUACAAGAAUUGCUGGUGGAUGAUGGGAAAGCAGAGCAGAGCGGAGUGCAGCACCCCUGACUGUGUCAACACCCUAGCCCAGAUGUGCUGCAUCACUCCCAGUCAUGUAACAUUCUCUCUCCCCCUCUCUCUCUCUCUCUCUCUCUCUCUCUCUCUCUCUCU
This is a long non-coding RNA of Coregonus clupeaformis (lake whitefish), 496 nucleotides long. RefSeq lists it as uncharacterized. The transcript is spliced from 4 exons. NCBI's taxonomy places the organism in Eukaryota, Metazoa, Chordata, Actinopteri, Salmoniformes, Salmonidae. The record is from RefSeq and is a predicted model, not a curated record.